This 1321-nucleotide unclassified non-coding RNA is filed under the name Hevea brasiliensis (rubber tree). The record is from RNAcentral. Lineage: Eukaryota; Viridiplantae; Streptophyta; Magnoliopsida; Malpighiales; Euphorbiaceae.
GGCCUCGCGGUUUUACCAUGUUGUUGAGAAUAAUUUGGGUUUCUAAAAUGUGCUCCUGAAAUGACAUCAGGAGCCAAACCGUAAAAACGGAAAAUCUGCUUCAACACAACCUUUGAACCCGCGAGAAGAGUGAAGAGAAAAAUAAAAAGUAUUUCCAUUUUCAUUUCAUCUCCCUCCAUGGAAGAGGAUACUGAGGUACUUUCCGGUGGUCUCAAGGACUGGAAUGACCUCCGACCCUUUAAUCUUGAUUCCCGGCCAACCCUCAAAACCUAUUCAAAACAAUGGUCUAUGGUUGUUAUUAGAGAGUCCUCCCAUGAGAAUCACGGCGACGAUGAUUUCUCCAUUUUCCCUCCAUGUAACCAUGAGAAUCUCGUUCCCUGUCAUUUCAAUCAACAACCAAAAAACCAACCACCCCCUCCCCAGUUCUUGCCUUCGUCUCCUUUAUCAUUUCUUCCUCCCGAUUUUGACCCUUCACCAUCGCCAUCGGAGUCUGCCUUCUUGCCCAAUUGGUGGGAUUUUGCUCGUAAGAUCUUGCGUUCGAGAAUCGCUAAUAUUGGGUCCUACUUUGGAUCUAAUAAUAGUUAUAAUAAAAGUUCGUUUUGGACAUUUGGAAAUGUUGCUUUGGCGGUGACGGUGGUCUUGUGGUGGUUGUGUGUGCGAGUAAGGCGGCAGAGGCGGAGGAGAAAGAUUGUGGAGCAUUUGAUGCAGAUUAUCAGUGAGAAAGAUAAGAAGAUUAUGCAGCUCCUGAAUCAAAUCGCUCAAAUGAACGAAGUACUGCUAACUAGACACAAAGUUUUGGCUUCAAAACUGGCUGAUUAAUGGAUGUUGAUUCAUUGGCAAUUCUUUUUGUUGCCUGCUGCAUUGUUGCUAGCGAGCCAAAGCAUUUGAAGUUGACAAUACCUAGAUCCUCUUUUGAGCCUAAUUCUUGGUGUAGUAGUUGAACAGCGCAAAAUGCCAAUAUGGCGGACCACAAAGGUUUGCAUUGCAAUCAACAGAAUGGAAGAUGUAGCUAAGCAAAGGAGCACCAUUUUGGCUGUCGAGGAUAGGAAAAUAUCUGAUGUUUCAAGCCAUCUGAAUAUGUUUGUAGAUUCUUAUUCUUUGUCCAUAAUUCUGUACCUGGAUUGACAUAUUUAGUGUAGUUUAAUGGGGCUUCAUGAUUUGUGAUUUUACAUUUUUUUUUCAAGUUUCAUGUUUACUUAUUUUUUUCUUGGGUCUCUGAUAGUAUUGAUAAUAUGGUAGGAUCCACUCCUAGUAGCUAUCCUGCCGAUCUAGAUUUUGUAAUCCUUCAAAUGAUUUAAAAGGGAGACCAAGCUGUUCAAAC